RNAcentral lists this non-coding RNA (170 nucleotides) under human gut metagenome. Its description in RNAcentral is "Lysine riboswitch". It matches the Rfam family "Lysine riboswitch aptamer". From Rfam's summary of the family: Riboswitches are metabolite binding domains within certain messenger RNAs that serve as precision sensors for their corresponding targets. The record is from RNAcentral.
AAGAUAGAGGCGCGACUCUGAUGAGUAACACCCGCGAGGCUGCCGAAAGCCCGUGACCGUGUGUGAAAGGUAUUGGUCGCCGAAGGAGAUUGCCGGCGGCUGGCAGGCUCCUGGUUGUUCCGGCGAAAGCCCUGCAACUGUCAUCAUGCUUUAUGAUGGAGAGCUAUCCG